UGGGGAAUAUUGCACAAUGGGGGAAACCCUGAUGCAGCGACGCCGCGUGAACGAAGAAGGUAUUCGUAUCGUAAAGUUCUGUCCUAUGGGAAGAUAAUUACAGUACCAUAGAAGAAAGCUCCGGCUAAAUACGUGCCAGCAGCCGCGGUAAUACGUAUGGAGCGAGCGUUGUCCGGAAUUAUUGGGCGUAAAGGGUACGCAGGCGGUUUAAUAAGUCGAAUGUUAAAGAUCGGGGCUCAACCCCGCAAAGCAUUGGAAACUGAUAAACUUGAGUAGUGGAGAGGAAAGUGGAAUUCCUAGUGUAGUGGUGAAAUACGUAGAUAUUAGGAGGAAUACCAGUAGCGAAGGCGACUUUCUGGACACAAACUGACGCUGAGGUACGAAAGCGUGGGGAGCAAACAGG
This 403-nucleotide ribosomal RNA is filed under the name bacterium. RNAcentral's name for it is "partial 16S ribosomal RNA". It matches the Rfam family "Bacterial small subunit ribosomal RNA", at positions 355 to 776 of the family's 1533-position model. The record is from RNAcentral.